This 540-nucleotide long non-coding RNA is filed under the name Ananas comosus (pineapple). RNAcentral's name for it is "long non-coding RNA (ACOM_LNC025684)". Lineage: Eukaryota; Viridiplantae; Streptophyta; Magnoliopsida; Poales; Bromeliaceae. The record is from RNAcentral.
UCGCCAAAGCUUUAUCAGAGUUGACAAACUGCUCCUUAAUGACUUUUAAGUAAUCCUUAGUUUUAUCACAUUCAGUAAUUGAUCCACUUAUGCUUUUUGAUACUCUAAACUUUAUGAUGAUCAAGUUUAAGCCAUUGAACCACUCCCAUUUUUCUGCACAAAUUUCUGCUGUGGAGUAAUAUUUACCCCACUACCUUAGGCGGUUGUUCAACACGCAGAGCUAAGUUAAGAUCCAUAUAAUCCAAAGUAAAAGAAAUACUUUUUUUCCAAUCAGAAUAGUUACCCCCAGUAAGUAUAGAGAUAUAAGAAACAUCAUUUUACCCCAGUAAGUAUAGAGAUAUAAGAAACAUCAUUAAAAUGCAGUAGAGAAAAAAACUAUAAGAACAAAAAAAAUAUUAAACUUUAUCGCCUACUAUAAGACAAUAAUCUUUAAAUUAAAUAAAUUUUAGCUUCUUGUGGGUAGAGGUACAACAAGCAUUGAAUUUAUCUACUUUAAUAAUAAGACUAGCAGAAAAUUAAUUCCUAGCCAACGAGAUUUCU